ACGGGUGAGUAACACGUGGGCAACCUGCCCUUGAGACUGGGAUAACUUCGGGAAACCGGAGCUAAUACCGGAUAAUACAAGGAACCUCCUGGUUCCUUGUUGAAAGAUGGUUUCGGCUAUCACUUAAGGAUGGGCCCGCGGCGCAUUAGCUAGUUGGUGAGGUAACGGCUCACCAAGGCGACGAUGCGUAGCCGACCUGAGAGGGUGAUCGGCCACACUGGGACUGAGACACGGCCCAGACUCCUACGGGAGGCAGCAGUAGGGAAUCUUCCACAAUGGACGAAAGUCUGAUGGAGCAACGCCGCGUGAGUGAUGAAGGCCUUCGGGUCGUAAAGCUCUGUUGUUAGGGAAGAACAAGUGCGAGAGUAACUGCUCGCACCUUGACUGUACCUAACCAGAAAGCCACGGCUAACUACGUGCCAGCAGCCGCGGUAAUACGUAGGUGGCAAGCGUUAUCCGGAAUUAUUGGGCGUAAAGCGCGCGCAGGUGGUUUCUUAAGUCUGAUGUGAAAGCCCACGGCUCAACCGUGGAGGGUCAUUGGAAACUGGGGAACUUGAGUGCAGAAGAGGAAAGUGGAAUUCCAAG
RNAcentral lists this ribosomal RNA (585 nucleotides) under uncultured bacterium. RNAcentral describes it as "bacterial SSU rRNA". It matches the Rfam family "Bacterial small subunit ribosomal RNA", at positions 102 to 673 of the family's 1533-position model. The record is from RNAcentral.